This 73-nucleotide small RNA is filed under the name Flavobacterium gillisiae. Its description in RNAcentral is "Flavo-1 RNA". It matches the Rfam family "Flavo-1 RNA". The record is from RNAcentral. Lineage: Bacteria; Pseudomonadati; Bacteroidota; Flavobacteriia; Flavobacteriales; Flavobacteriaceae.
UUGCGUUAAGGAUAGUAGCGAAAAUCCUUAUUUGUUUUUACAAAUAAGAUUGUAGCGGAUAGCCUGACCUCGU